AUGAAUGCUGGCGGCGUGCCUAAUACAUGCAAGUCGAGCGCACAGACGAGGAGCUUGCUCCUCUGACGUUAGCGGCGGACGGGUGAGUAACACGUGGAUAACCUACCUAUAAGACUGGGAUAACUUCGGGAAACCGGAGCUAAUACCGGAUAAUAUAUUGAACCGCAUGGUUCAAUAGUGAAAGACGGUUUUGCUGUCACUUAUAGAUGGAUCCGCGCCGCAUUAGCUAGUUGGUAAGGUAACGGCUUACCAAGGCAACGAUGCGUAGCCGACCUGAGAGGGUGAUCGGCCACACUGGAACUGAGACACGGUCCAGACUCCUACGGGAGGCAGCAGUAGGGAAUCUUCCGCAAUGGGCGAAAGCUUGACGGAGCAACGCCGCGUGAGUGAUGAAGGUCUUCGGAUCGUAAAACUCUGUUAUUAGGGAAGAACAAAUGUGUAAGUAACUAUGCACGUCUUGACGGUACCUAAUCAGAAAGCCACGGCUAACUACGUG
This 496-nucleotide ribosomal RNA is filed under the name uncultured bacterium. RNAcentral describes it as "partial 16S ribosomal RNA". It matches the Rfam family "Bacterial small subunit ribosomal RNA", at positions 29 to 507 of the family's 1533-position model. The record is from RNAcentral.